Molecule: unclassified non-coding RNA, 1042 nt
Filed under: Hevea brasiliensis (rubber tree)
Lineage: Eukaryota; Viridiplantae; Streptophyta; Magnoliopsida; Malpighiales; Euphorbiaceae
Source: RNAcentral
GCAUGAGCAAUAUUAACUUUUUAUCUCAAAUUCCAGUAUAAGAGAGACUUCCAACCUUACGAGAGCAAUAUUAACUUUUAUCUCGUUCAAUAUUGUUUAGCAUGAUGUUACUACUGGCCAAAAGAAUACAUAAAGCUAGCCAAGAUAUUUAAUUAAAGUAGCUGUAAGCUUCUAAAGUGAUCUGCUUGGUUAUGUAUCUUGCUUUACUGAUGCCAAGUGGAAACUAAAGGUCCAAUUCAUUCCAUGUAAGGAACUGCCCUCUCUUUAAAGUUUUAUUUGCUGACAAAAAUCCAAAAUAAAUAUCCUCAAAGCAUUGAUUUGGACAACUCACACAAUAUUGGUUGAUUUCAUCCUAGUAGUUACGUGACAAACAUCACAACAAAUAGCAUCUUUAAAAUGCUACCUUCAAUAGCUUUGUUAUUAGUUGAAGUAGAUAAUAAAAAGUGGUCCCACUUCAAAAGAAAAAAAGGGGCUAUAGUAUGUGUCUCUUGUCCUGAUGCAACAUAUUCAUAAGCUUUGCAUAUGAGGGAAUAAAAUAUGAAAAUUAUGACUCAACUCAUGGUCAUGGGGUACACACUUAACCCCAGUCGCACAAAAUGUAGUGGACUAACCAGCUAGUGAGCGGACGAUAUUGAAAGUCUUUAAGAGACAGCCCACAGGAAAAAAUCUUUAAGAGAUAGCCCACAGGAAAAAAUCAAUCAUUUUCUCCACAUCACCACAAAGUAAAUGAAUUUAUAUUAAAUAUGACAGCAAUCUUAUACGAACAUUAACAUUCAUUUUAUAUUUUGACAUAAAUUAUGUGCAAGCCUUUGACAUCACACAUGAAUUGAAAGUGGAUACAUAAAAGAAAAUGUCCUCAAGGUACCAAAUACGUCUCAUUGCAUCCAACGUUGUCGUGAUCUUCACUUAACUUGACCACAAAAAGUCUCGCCUCUUUUGGGUAUUUUCUCUUCCAGAGGAAUACACACCAAACAAAAUUGAUCAAAUGAAAAUGUACCUGUAUGACAUUGAAUUUCCAGAUGGACUGUGCAGUGGCACCCAU